GCAGUGGUGGACGGGCCCCCGCUGGAUGCCUCUGAUUUUAAGGUUUUAUGUUCUGGGAAGGACUCUGAAACGAUAUGCCUCCGCAUCACCACCUUCUUGGCAGUAUUUGAGUUGGAUUAAUUCUCAGUGGAACAUGAUCGUCUGGAAGGCUCUCUGAUGGCUGUGCUGUGCCUUUUGACCUACAUUGCCAUGCAGGUGGGCCACCUCUCCUUAGAAGACAUGGAUGCAUAUCUCAGCCAAGCUAUCUGCGUCAGUACAUAUCCUACACAAUGACCUGUCUGCUGCCUUUGAUACUGUGAACCAUCAGAUCCU
This is a long non-coding RNA of Coregonus clupeaformis (lake whitefish), 312 nucleotides long. RefSeq lists it as uncharacterized. The transcript has 4 exons. The record is from RefSeq and is a predicted model, not a curated record. NCBI's taxonomy places the organism in Eukaryota, Metazoa, Chordata, Actinopteri, Salmoniformes, Salmonidae.